Molecule: ribosomal RNA, 774 nt
Filed under: uncultured Neocallimastigales
Lineage: Eukaryota; Fungi; Neocallimastigomycota; Neocallimastigomycetes; Neocallimastigales
Description: partial large subunit ribosomal RNA
Rfam family: Eukaryotic large subunit ribosomal RNA
Source: RNAcentral
AGAGAGAGACAUGCGCGCAUAUCAAUAAGCGGAGGAAAAGAAACUAACAAGGAUUCCCCUAGUAACGGCGAGUGAAGCGGGAAGAGCUCAAAUUUGAAAUCUUAAAGGGUUUCCCUUUACGAAUUGUAGUUUAAAGAAGUGUUUUCUGUUGAGGUUUCGGUAAAAGUUCUUUGGAAUAGGACAUCAUAGAGGGUGAGAAUCCCGUAUUUGACCUUUACUUUCAACUGUGUGAUACACUUUCAAAGAGUCGGAUUGUUUGGGGAUGCAGUCCAAAAUGGGUGGUAAAUUUCAUCUAAAGCUAAAUAUUGGCGAGAGACCGAUAGCGAACAAGUACCGUGAGGGAAAGAUGAAAAGAACUUUGAAAAGAGAGUUAAACAGUACGUGAAAUUGUCAAAAGGGAAGCGUUUGACACCAGUGUUGUUUUUCUGAAAAUCAAUUAAAGAACUGUUUAUGCUAAGUUGUUUAGACUUUAUCAGCUAACUGUUUAGUUUUGAGCUUUUCUUUAAUGCACUUUUCAGUUAACAAGUCAACAUCAAUUUCUUUUGCUGUAAAAAAGCUUGAGGAAGGUGGCUUGAGAUUCGUCUUAAGUGUUUAUAGCCUCUUGCCUAUGCAGUCGGAGAGAUUGAGGUCUGCAGCGUAGAUCCUUCGGGGCUAAAUGCAUUUGUGCUAAGUUAUAGCAUUUUAUAGACAACUUGUUGACUAUGAUUUGUCUUGUAGCUUACUCGCUUAUGUUAUUUUACCUACGCUUAGGAUGUUGAGCGCAUGUCUCUCUCU